Molecule: non-coding RNA, 112 nt
Organism: Acanthosepion pharaonis
Lineage: Eukaryota; Metazoa; Mollusca; Cephalopoda; Sepiida; Sepiidae
Source: the annotation of a GenBank genome assembly
GUUCAUAUAACAUUGAAAUAUCGGUUCCCGAUAUACGAUAACCGAAGUUAAACAACGUCGAGCCUGGUCAGUACCUAGAUGGGUGAACGCUUGGGAAUACCAGGUGCUGUAA